GGAGAUUAAGAGGAAUUAAUCACUGCAGAAUAAUGUGAUGUCCUGGAAAUAGAGAAUGUCUUUUCCUCUUUGUGGGUUCAGGCAGUCUCAAUCCUGAAAAUGGUUGUUUGUUCUGUGAAGAGUGUAUGUGUGCACAGUUAGCUCACCAUUUGGACAAUCAACAGAAGAAUCUGGCAUGUGUGGUUCACCCUGUGGUGCUUCCUGAACUCUCUUUAAGCUCCUACAAAGUGUACUCCAGGUUGAAUGACCCGGACUUGGAGAAUUGUUCUUCUGGGAGGUGUGGCGGAUCCCACUGUGAGAAAGAACCUGCAGGAAGGGGCCAAGGCUUCCUGAAAGGUACGUGAAAAUUGUCUGUAAUUAAGUGGUUGUUGGCCGGGCAUGGUGGUUCAUGCCUGUCAUCCCAGCACUUUCAGAAGCUGAGGCGAGUGGAUCACUUGAGCCCAGGAGUUUGAGACCAGCCUGGGCAACAUGGCGAAAGCCCAUCUCAAAAAAAAAAAAAAAAAAAAAAUUAAAAAAUAAAGUGGUGGUUAGGAGCACGUGGUUCCAGCGUCAGACUCCCUGACUUCCCACUUCUAAGAGCUAUGAUAACGAACAUAUUGUUUAGCUUCUAUCUACCUUGGUUUCUUCAUCUCUAAGAUGAGUAUCAUGAUAGUACCUAUCUCACAGGGAUUUGGUGAAGAUUAAAUUACUUAAGGUAUGGAAAGCACCUAGAAGUACUUGGCACAUAGAAAGCACUUAGUAAAUAGCAGUUCUUAAUAUGAAUUAUCUAUAUGUUGGAGGUAAGGGUGACAUGAAGGGAAGAAAAUCAGGUUAGGACGACGGUGUGCAAUGAAGGGAACCCCUGUAAACAGAAUUCGUGGGUUAUGAACAGCUCUAAAUACACUGUUCUACACUAAUUUUUCUGAAUUAUCUGUAACACUUCACUAAGCCUGAAAUUACUACACAGUCUAGUAUAAGGUAGGGGUGUUAUGAAGAAUAAAGGAUGAAGACAGUAAAGGAAAGUGGGGCCUACCCUGCAGAAACUCUCCCCUUGCCCCAACAGUCUCCUUUCCAUGGGGAUGGCAUCAGAGUUCCAGGAGAGAAGAGAGCAGGGCACAUGUUGGGGCCAGGAGCAUGCAGAGGCACCCAUGAGAGGCACUCACGUACCUAGAAGAAGGCUGUCGUGGUCCCAGAUUUGCUGGGGAGCACUGUUGGAAAAGGAAGGGAUGGAGAGGGGAGCCCGGGUUACUUGGGAAACAUUUUCUUCAUACUUCUUCUCUAUAUCUACCUGCCUAGCCAUGUGAGCUCACCAAGCACUUAAG
RNAcentral lists this long non-coding RNA (1301 nucleotides) under Homo sapiens (human). RNAcentral describes it as "HSALNT0102776". Lineage: Eukaryota; Metazoa; Chordata; Mammalia; Primates; Hominidae. The record is from RNAcentral.